This 326-nucleotide long non-coding RNA is filed under the name Elaeis guineensis (African oil palm). Its description in RNAcentral is "long non-coding RNA (EGUI_LNC027524)". The record is from RNAcentral. Lineage: Eukaryota; Viridiplantae; Streptophyta; Magnoliopsida; Arecales; Arecaceae.
GGGCUUCCUGAAGUAUUUCUUGUUUGAGUAUGAAAUCAUUGGGUAUGCAAAUUCUAUUUUCAAACCUUAACGAACUGUCAUCAUGUAUCUUGAAUUCAGAUUGAAUACCAGCUUCUACUAAAUCUUUGAUUUUCAUUAAUUGUGGAUCACCAUUCUGGACAACUUUAAUUCUUUCAAUAAGUAUUGGCUGAACUCUCAUGUUGGCUAAUCGUACUGCUGAGUCAUAUACUCAAAUAUCUAAUUCUAAUUUUUUUAUAUCCUCCAAUAAUUGACGCUGAUGUGUGAUUAAUAUAGCCAAAUUUCUCAUGGAUUUUCUUGUAAGGGUG